Molecule: long non-coding RNA, 1129 nt
Organism: Ornithodoros turicata
Lineage: Eukaryota; Metazoa; Arthropoda; Arachnida; Ixodida; Argasidae
Exons: 3
Source: RefSeq, a predicted model, not a curated record
UGUACAACGCUUUUUUGCUCGUUAUUAGCGUGAUGUGUGCCACAGGCGUUGGUUUUAUAAUCGAAAGGAUUUGUCUGUAAGUUACGACAGUGCGACAGUACAAUGAGCGCCAGCGGCCGGGCGGGCGGGUGUUAUAGGAUUACAGCUGGACUACAACUGUGGAUACCGCUUUAUCGUGAGUACUAUGCUUAAGUGCUUUUCCCUUGUGCACCAUUUAGAAAUAUUACUUCUACUAGAACCUCAUCUCUUUGUUCCGCGUCAGGUUCGUGGCACCUGUAUGUGCAUGCCGUUUUACGAGUAACAUGUACGAGUAGCUAGUUAACGUUACCAGAAACUUGUUUCAUUCUCGUGUUUUUGUCUUUGUAUUUCUUCGUUCAUGCUCGUGUUUUAGAUCCUUCACACCACGGGUGUUCUCGAACUAGCGUAGAACUAAGAGCUUCGCCAGCUUUCGGGGGCAAUGAGUAGUACUCACUGCCCCCGAAAGCCGGCGAAUCUCUUAGUUGAUAUGUCCAACUACUCCACAACAGAAAUGUUGAGAGAUUUGCGUGCUUUUUGGGGCCACGACUGCUCAAAUUAACUGCACACUCUAAUUACAUGUUGCAAUUGAAUAAUAUUUACUUGUGUCUUUUCAACUUUCCAGAAACCUUAAGCUGCUUGGGCUCAAAGGAAAAUGUCGAUCCAUCGUGUGCUAUUAAGAACAUCUCACAUACUUUGUUGAAUGAUUCAAGAUGUCCACAAGGUAGCCGAGCAAGGGACCCAUCAGCCAUGAAAUAUUAUCUAUUCCAUGUAACUCUGUAGUUCCUCUACUGCUUUUGUUUAAUUACAUUAUAGUUACGCUACAUGUACAUUAGAAUAUGUGCAAUGUUUGAUUACAAAUAAAAUGUAAUUUUGCAUUGCAGUUCUUUGGAUCUGUCGUUGCUGGGAACAGCGAUCCUGCAAAGUGGCACUGGUUGCCUACCAGCUAGCCUCUGUCCGAGCAGGCCACUUCACCGUUACUUGAAGCUGCUGCCGGCUAAAAGAAGCUGAGCAAGCUCCGUGCGCAUAUGCCCACUGAUGUAACCUGGAGUUCCAGCAGAGAUGGUCACUUCUGUGCACACCACCCUUCCUGGCCAAGUCGUGUGGAAAGGCA